This 253-nucleotide ribosomal RNA is filed under the name uncultured bacterium. RNAcentral describes it as "partial 16S ribosomal RNA". It matches the Rfam family "Bacterial small subunit ribosomal RNA", at positions 524 to 776 of the family's 1533-position model. The record is from RNAcentral.
UACGAAGGGGGCUAGCGUUGCUCGGAUUGACUGGGCGUAAAGGGCGCGUAGGCGGAUAGUACAGUCAGGCGUGAAAUUCCUGGGCUCAACCUGGGGGCUGCGUUUGAGACGGGCAUUCUUGAGUAUGGAAGAGGGUCGUGGAAUUCCCAGUGUAGAGGUGAAAUUCGUAGAUAUUGGGAAGAACACCGGUGGCGAAGGCGGCGACCUGGUCCAUGACUGACGCUGAGGCGCGAAAGCGUGGGGAGCAAACAGG